This 207-nucleotide ribosomal RNA is filed under the name uncultured bacterium. Its description in RNAcentral is "partial 16S ribosomal RNA". It matches the Rfam family "Bacterial small subunit ribosomal RNA", at positions 568 to 774 of the family's 1533-position model. The record is from RNAcentral.
AGCGCAGACGGUUGAUUAAGUCUGAUGUGAAAGCCCGGAGCUCAACCCCGGAAUGGCAUUGGAAACUGGUUAACUUGAGUGCAGUAGAGGUAAGUGGAACUCCAUGUGUAGCGGUGGAAUGCGUAGAUAUAUGGAAGAACACCAGUGGCGAAGGCGGCUUACUGGACUGUAACUGACGUUGAGGCUCGAAAGUGUGGGUAGCAAACA